Molecule: ribosomal RNA, 565 nt
Filed under: uncultured bacterium
Lineage: Bacteria
Description: bacterial SSU rRNA
Rfam family: Bacterial small subunit ribosomal RNA
Source: RNAcentral
CCUACGGGAGGCAGCAGUGAGGAAUUUUCCGCAAUGGGCUAACGCCUGACGGAGCAAUGCCGCGUGGAGGAGGAAGGCCUGUGGGUCGUAAACUCCUUUUCUCAGAGAAGAAGAUCUGACGGUAUCUGAGGAAUAAGCAUCGGCUAACUCUGUGCCAGCAGCCGCGGUAAUACAGGGGAUGCAAGCGUUAUCCGGAAUUAUUGGGCGUAAAGCGUCCUGAGGUGGCUUACCCAGUCGACUGUGAAAGCUCAAGGCUCAACCUUGAAACGGCAGUCGAAACUUGUAAGCUUGAGUACGGUAGAGGCAGAGGGAAUUCCCGGAGGAGAGGUGAAAUUCGUAGAUAUCGGGAGGAAGGCCAAAGGCGAAAGCACUCUGCUGGGCCGAUUACUGACACUGACAGACGAAAGCUAGGGGAGCGAAAGGGAUUAGAUACCCCUGUAGUCCUAGCCGUAAACGAUGGAUACUAAGUGUUGCGCGACUCAACUCGUGCAGUGCUGCAGCUAACGCGGUAAGUAUCCCGCCUGGGGAGUAUGCUCGCAAGAGUGAAACUCAAAUGAAUUGACGG